RNAcentral lists this long non-coding RNA (344 nucleotides) under Equus asinus (donkey). RNAcentral's name for it is "lncRNA (ENSEASG00005029192.1)". Lineage: Eukaryota; Metazoa; Chordata; Mammalia; Perissodactyla; Equidae. The record is from RNAcentral.
AAACCAUGGAGAAACGUGAAAACUCAAAUGUGCCCCGAACCAGUCUCAACCCCCAAGUCAAGGAAUGCAAAAGGUCUUGAAGUCGUUUUCUUUCUGGAUUUCUGGCUGCAAUCCAGUGACACCUGACGGCGGUGGCGAGGGGGAUCCUGAUAGCUGAUUGGCCGCGGCAAGGAUCCUGAAGGAGGCCGCGGUCUGCCAGUGCACCCAGGCCCCAGCUGUGACUCAGCCGCCGCUCUCCAGCACGGGGAGAGGGAACUCUCCGCCCGCCCGCGGACCCACCCCCGGCGCGAGCCGUGACGUCUCCCGGAAUUCACAGCUGCCCUCUCUCCCCGCUGGGCUCCCCC